Molecule: non-coding RNA, 181 nt
Filed under: Maledivibacter halophilus
Lineage: Bacteria; Bacillati; Bacillota; Clostridia; Peptostreptococcales; Caminicellaceae
Source: RNAcentral
CAGCAGAAUAGAGAUGUAGGUGCCUCAAAGGAGGAUAAAAGGGAAGUACGGUGUGAAUCCGUCACAGCCCCCGCUACUGUAAACGCAGACGAAACCUCAUUACUAGCCACUAGGAUUCUGGGAAGGCGAGGGAGUAGGUUGAAGUGUGAGUCAGGAAACCUGCCUAUGUUAUUUUACAUCU